RNAcentral lists this ribosomal RNA (946 nucleotides) under Apiospora sacchari. Its description in RNAcentral is "eukaryotic LSU rRNA". The stretch from base 179 to 332 matches the Rfam family "5.8S ribosomal RNA". Lineage: Eukaryota; Fungi; Ascomycota; Sordariomycetes; Amphisphaeriales; Apiosporaceae. The record is from RNAcentral.
UAANNGCAGCCCGGGAGAACCCUGAUGACCUAGAAAGUUAGGCCUCGAGCGUAAGCUCGGUUGGAGGCACCUGCAGCUACCCUGUAAUUGCGGACUGCCAACUCCAGCCGCGGCCCGCCGGCGGUACACUAAACUCUGUUUUAUUUUAUAUUCUGAGCGUCUUAUUUUAAUAAGUUAAAACUUUCAACAACGGAUCUCUUGGUUCUGGCAUCGAUGAAGAACGCAGCGAAAUGCGAUAAGUAAUGUGAAUUGCAGAAUUCAGUGAAUCAUCGAAUCUUUGAACGCACAUUGCGCCCAUCAGUAUUCUGGUGGGCAUGCCUGUUCGAGCGUCAUUUCAACCCUUAAGCCUAGCUUAGUGUUGGGAAUCUGCUGUACUGCAGUUCCUUAAAGACAGUGGCGGAGCGGCGGUAGUCCUCUGAGCGUAGUAAUUUAUUUCUCGCUUUUGUCAGGCUCUGUCCUCCCGCCAUAAAACCCCCAAUUUUUUAGUGGUUGACCUCGGAUCAGGUAGGAAUACCCGCUGAACUUAAGCAUAUCAAUAAGCGGAGGAAAUGAUGGGCAAGACCCCCCCACAUAAUAGAAGAUGAAAUAAAACCAAGUGAGCAAAGACAAUCAAGGAAUCAAAGUACAACUUAUCCGGUUUAUACUGAGAGCACUGAUGAUUAACACCUCAAGUUCCAACCACAUUUUGGACAGCAAGAAUGUGUUUCUCCAUACAGGUCACGGGGAGCCAAUGGUUCAGAAACAAAUCGAGUGGGUUCUAAUCAUGGAAUUAAUCAAAAUGUACGCCAGUCUUUGUGUCAAGAAGAUGACUAUGAAGAUGAUAAGCCUACCAAUUAUAGUGCACGUUACUCUGAACAAGAUCAGCAUGAAGCACAAGAGAGACCAACAAAUUAUAGCAUAUAUAUACUGAAGAGAAACGUCAUGUGCAUCAACUAUUUAUUAUAGU